This 17-nucleotide small RNA is filed under the name Arabidopsis thaliana (thale cress). Its description in RNAcentral is "ATSL061780". Lineage: Eukaryota; Viridiplantae; Streptophyta; Magnoliopsida; Brassicales; Brassicaceae. The record is from RNAcentral.
UUUUGAAGGCCGAAGAA